GAGAAUCCUCUGGUGGUACGUCAAUCCAACCGGUAGCUUCGAGCAUUGCACGGAGAUGUGUAAGAAAAGUUCUUCGCCUUGAGCGUUUACUUCAGGUGAAUGUGCAACACCAGUUAGAUGAAUAAAGUCUCAGACAACGAAGACCACGAGAAGAAGGUAGCUGCAAAGACCUUCUCCCUGAAGAAACCUGGUGGACCUAGGGAACAGAAGAUGAGGGAUUUGUAGACCUCCAGGUUUUACUUUUUCCUGAUUACUAUUCCAGGCUAGGAGAGACCACGGCUAUGGAGACCAGGGGCUGAAAAACGAAAUUCUGGAUGUUAGCAGAAAUGGUGGAGAUUAGACAAGAAAAUAAGAAGAAGAUGCGAAGGGGAGAGGUUCUCUAUUUCAUGGGAUCCUUGGUCAGUUUCUUUUUUGAGAUCGAAGACUAGCCUUGACCCUGGACUCUAAGGCCUCAUUUCCCCUCCCAGUUCUCCCAUCAGCGCUUGACUGAGUACCACUCAUCCCAACCCCACAGGACCUAAGUGUAUAGCCUUAUAGUCUACUAU
This is a long non-coding RNA of Ornithorhynchus anatinus (platypus), 545 nucleotides long. RefSeq lists it as uncharacterized. NCBI's taxonomy places the organism in Eukaryota, Metazoa, Chordata, Mammalia, Monotremata, Ornithorhynchidae. The transcript has 3 exons. The record is from RefSeq and is a predicted model, not a curated record.